This 684-nucleotide ribosomal RNA is filed under the name uncultured bacterium. Its description in RNAcentral is "bacterial SSU rRNA". It matches the Rfam family "Bacterial small subunit ribosomal RNA", at positions 1 to 709 of the family's 1533-position model. The record is from RNAcentral.
GUCGACGGAAGUCGUUAUGAUGAUUUCAACACUGACAGAGAACUUGUUCAAAGAAAGUAGAGAUUGACUUAUAACAAUGGCUUUAGUGGCGGACUGGUGAGUAACACGUGAGCAACCUGCCUAUCAGAGGGGAAUAACAGUGAGAAAUCAUUGCUAAUACCGCAUAUGCCAUAAAUAUCACAUGAUGAAAGUGGGAAAGGAGUAAUCCGCUGAUAGAUGGGCUCGCGUCUGAUUAGAUAGUUGGUGGGGUAACGGCCUACCAAGUCGACGAUCAGUAGCCGGACUGAGAGGUUGAACGGCCACAUUGGGACUGAGAUACGGCCCAGACUCCUACGGGAGGCAGCAGUCGGGAAUAUUGCGCAAUGGAGGAAACUCUGACGCAGUGACGCCGCGUAUAGGAAGAAGGUUUUCGGAUUGUAAACUAUUGUCGUUAGGGAAGAUACAAGACAGUACCUAAGGAGGAAGCUCCGGCUAACUACGUGCCAGCAGCCGCGGUAAUACGUAGGGAGCAAGCGUUAUCCGGAUUUAUUGGGUGUAAAGGGUGCGUAGACGGGAAAGCAAGUUAGUUGUGAAAUCCCUCGGCUUAACUGAGGAACUGCAACUAAAACUACUUUUCUUGAGUGUUGGAGAGGAAAGUGAAAUUCCUAGUGUAGCGGUGAAAUGCGUAGAUAUUAGGAGGAACAC